This 429-nucleotide ribosomal RNA is filed under the name Pseudomonadota bacterium. RNAcentral's name for it is "Proteobacteria bacterium partial 16S ribosomal RNA". It matches the Rfam family "Bacterial small subunit ribosomal RNA", at positions 355 to 776 of the family's 1533-position model. The record is from RNAcentral. Lineage: Bacteria; Pseudomonadati; Pseudomonadota.
UGGGGAAUAUUGGACAAUGGGCGAAAGCCUGAUCCAGCCAUGCCGCGUGUGUGAAGAAGGUCUUCGGAUUGUAAAGCACUUUAAGUUGGGAGGAAGGGCAGUAAGCGAAUACCUUGCUGUUUUGACGUUACCGACAGAAUAAGCACCGGCUAACUCUGUGCCAGCAGCCGCGGUAAUACAGAGGGUGCAAGCGUUAAUCGGAAUUACUGGGCGUAAAGCGCGCGUAGGUGGUUCGUUAAGUUGAAUGUGAAAGCCCCGGGCUCAACCUGGGAACUGCAUCCAAAACUGGCGAGCUAGAGGAGGGCAGAGGGUGGUGGAAUUUCCUGUGUAGCGGAGAAAUGCGUAGAUAUAGGAAGGAACACCAGUGGCGAAGGCGACCACCUGGGCUCAUACUGACACUGAGGUGCGAAAGCGUGGGGAGCAAACAGG